AGUGAACGCUGGCGGUAGGCCUAACACAUGCAAGUCGAACGGCAGCACAGUAAGAGUUUGCUCUUACGGGUGGCGAGUGGCGGACGGGUGAGGAAUACAUCGGAAUCUACUUUUUCGGGGGGGAUAACGUAGGGAAACUUACGCUAAUACCGCAUACGACCUACGGGUGAAAGCAGGGGAGCUUCGGACCUUGCGCGAUUGAAUGAGCCGAUGUCGGAUUAGCUAGUUGGCGGGGUAAAGGCCCACCAAGGCGACGAUCCGUAGCUGGUCUGAGAGGAUGAUCAGCCACACUGGAACUGAGACACGGUCCAGACUCCUACGGGAGGCAGCAGUGGGGAAUAUUGGACAAUGGGCGCAAGCCUGAUCCAGCCAUACCGCGUGGGUGAAGAAGGCCUUCGGGUUGUAAAGCCCUUUUGUUGGGAAAGAAAAGCAGCAGGUUAAUACCCCGCUGUUCUGACGGUACCCAAAGAAUAAGCACCGGCUAACUUCGUG
This 492-nucleotide ribosomal RNA is filed under the name uncultured bacterium. Its description in RNAcentral is "partial 16S ribosomal RNA". It matches the Rfam family "Bacterial small subunit ribosomal RNA", at positions 29 to 507 of the family's 1533-position model. The record is from RNAcentral.